GAUCUAUUUAAAUGUGGAAAGUUCUGUGCUAACCUGAAGCAUUCUGAGAGAUUGAAUUCAGGAGUUAUGGUAGUGGAGCCAUCUCAAUCAGUUUUCAAUGACAUGAUGACUAAAGUGAACACUUUGCACUCUUACACUGGAGGAGAUCAGGGGUUUCUGAACUCAUAUUACUCCGACUUUCCCAAUGCACAUGUUUUCCAGCCUAAUUUACCCCAGGA
This 218-nucleotide unclassified non-coding RNA is filed under the name Hevea brasiliensis (rubber tree). The record is from RNAcentral. Lineage: Eukaryota; Viridiplantae; Streptophyta; Magnoliopsida; Malpighiales; Euphorbiaceae.